RNAcentral lists this ribosomal RNA (254 nucleotides) under uncultured bacterium. RNAcentral's name for it is "partial 16S ribosomal RNA". It matches the Rfam family "Bacterial small subunit ribosomal RNA", at positions 524 to 776 of the family's 1533-position model. The record is from RNAcentral.
UACGUAGGGUGCGAGCGUUGUCCGGAAUUAUUGGGCGUAAAGAGCUCGUAGGCGGUGUGUCACGUCGGCCGUGAAAACCUGCAGCUUAACUGUGGGCGUGCGGUCGAUACGGGCAUCACUGGAGUUCGGCAGGGGAGACUGGAAUUCCUGGUGUAGCGGUGAAAUGCGCAGAUAUCAGGAGGAACACCGGUGGCGAAGGCGGGUCUCUGGGCAGUAACUGACGCUGAGGAGCGAAAGCGUGGGGAGCGAACAGG